UGGCGCUGGCUGCUCGUCUGUGGCGCCUUCUGCCUUUCCGACGUGGAGCCGCCCCGGGGUCUCGUCUCCCUGCGGGGACUUUGGGCAGCCGCGGGCAUUGCGGCCGCUGUCGAUUCCGCGGCUUCGAGGUAAUGGGAAACCCAGGAACUUUCAAAAGAGGCCUUUUACUCUCAGCUUUGUCGUAUUUGGGUUUUGAAACUUACCAGGUUAUCUCUCAGGCUGCUGUGGUUCAUGCCACAGCCAAAGUGCGGCAAUAUUAGAACCCAAGGAAGGAAAAACUGGCAAAGUUGUCAUAUGCCAAGUGGCCAGUGCCUCCUGAAAUGAAGGUAGGUUCACUUGGUCUCUCCUAAGAAGAAGAGAAUGUCCAGGAAAUAAAAUAUUUAAAAAACCAUUGAAAAUCCAACAAACCCCAGCCUUGAGGUGCGCAUGGAGUGCAUGGGAUAAGAAGGGAAUCAAGUAGCAGCAUUCAGAAGCAGUCCUGGGUUCAUCCUGACGAGGUCUCUCCUUCAUUCAGGGAGAGGUGGCUUUCCCGUGCUGGGAGGGAGGUGGAAGGAGGCAUGACUUAGACAUUGGUGGUGGUCUCCUUAGCAGCCUGGAUGCUGUUCAUCUCCAUGAUGCCAUCCUUCCCUGAUCUAUCUGCACCAUGUGCCUGCCUUUCAAAGGCCCAUGUGAUAUCCUCAAAAGCCCUGCCAUGGGUCUCAGGGACUUCGAAGAAGGUAAAGGUCAAGAAGGUGAUGAGGAAGUUGGCGAAGACAAUAAAAAUACAGGCUCCUAAAUAAUAAGCAGCAGAGGGGAAGAGC
RNAcentral lists this small RNA (800 nucleotides) under Pan troglodytes (chimpanzee). RNAcentral describes it as "processed transcript". The record is from RNAcentral. Lineage: Eukaryota; Metazoa; Chordata; Mammalia; Primates; Hominidae.